GACGAACGCUGGCGGCGUGCUUAACACAUGCAAGUCGAACGGCAAGGCCCUGCUUUUGUGGGGUGCUCGAGUGGCGAACGGGUGAGUAACACGUGAGUAACCUGCCCUUGACUUUGGGAUAACUUCAGGAAACUGGGGCUAAUACCGGAUAGGAGCUCCUGCUGCAUGGUGGGGGUUGGAACGUUUCGGCGGUUGGGGAUGGAUUCGCGGCUUAUCAGCUUGUUGGUGGGGUAGUGGCUUACCAAGGCUUUGACGGGUAGCCGGCCUGAGAGGGUGACCGGCCACAUUGGGACUGAGGUACGGACCAGACUCCUACGGGAGGCAGCAGUGGGGAGUAUUGCACAAUGGGCGGAAGCCUGAUACAGCAACGCCGCGUGCGGGAUGACGUCCUGCGGGUUGUAAACCGCUUUCGCCUGUGACGAAGCGUGAGUGACGGUAAUGGGUAAAGAAGCACCGGCUAACUACGUG
Molecule: ribosomal RNA, 468 nt
Filed under: uncultured bacterium
Lineage: Bacteria
Description: partial 16S ribosomal RNA
Rfam family: Bacterial small subunit ribosomal RNA
Source: RNAcentral